CCCUUAGAUGUUCUGGGCUGCACGCGUGCUACAAUGGCGUUUCCAGCAAGUCUGCGAACCCGAGAGGGCCAGCGGAUCUUCGAAUUGGCGUCGUGAUCGGGACAGUCGAUUGCAAUUAUUUGACUCAAACGAGGAAUUCCUUGUAAUCGCGAUUCAUCAUAUCGCACUGAAUACGUCCCUGCCCUUUGUACACACCGCCCGUCGCUCCUACCGAUUGAGCGAUCCGGUAAAUGUUUUGGAUUGGUGCCGGGGCGGCUAGCUGCCGGUCGCUACGAAAUUUUGUGAACCUUAUCGCUUAGAGGAAGGAAAAGUCGUAACA
This 319-nucleotide ribosomal RNA is filed under the name uncultured eukaryote. RNAcentral's name for it is "partial 18S ribosomal RNA". It matches the Rfam family "Eukaryotic small subunit ribosomal RNA", at positions 1470 to 1796 of the family's 1831-position model. The record is from RNAcentral.